This 147-nucleotide unclassified non-coding RNA is filed under the name soil metagenome. Its description in RNAcentral is "partial internal transcribed spacer 1". The record is from RNAcentral.
CCGAGUUUACAACUCCCAAACCCCUGUGAACAUACCACUUGUUGCCUCGGCGGAUCAGCCCGCUCCCGGUGAAACGGGACGGCCCGCCAGAGGACCCCUAAACUCUGUUUCUAUAUGUAACUUCUGAGUAGAACCAUAAAUAAAUCA